Long non-coding RNA from Prunus persica (peach), 629 nucleotides. RefSeq lists it as uncharacterized. The transcript has 6 exons. The record is from RefSeq and is a predicted model, not a curated record. Lineage: Eukaryota; Viridiplantae; Streptophyta; Magnoliopsida; Rosales; Rosaceae.
CUUGGAUUGGGCUCUCUCAAUAUCUGCCGAGGCAGAGCCUUCGUCCUCCGGGUACGUGCCUGGUGACGUGGACGACUACAUUUCGCAAUCUUCUUCAGGAAAAGCAGGAGGAGCCAAAGAAUACAAGCUAAUUUCACAAGGAGGAGGAGCCAAAGAAAAGCAGAACGCAGUGAUGACUUUGACUGCACACUACGCUUGAACCUGUCACAACUCCUUGUGGGCAUUCUUUUUGUCGUUCACGCCUAUUUCAGUCGGUGAGGAGGAUAAUGGAAGGCAACCGUCGGAUGAGAAUGGUUAUCACUGACUCUUCUUGGUUUUGCUUGUGAAGUGGAAAUUGCCGAAUUGAAAGUCGCCGACGGUGAUCUUGGGACCAAGAUGGGUACCGUGCUGCAGAGAUUGAAUGGGUACAGGACAUAUAUCCACCAGAAGGGUCUAGAGAGAGAGCAGACGUGAGUUCAUGACAAUUUGGUUUGCUGUAAUCUCUAUAUUGGAGGUGUGCUCUUUUCUUCUAUAUUUUUUUUUUAAAUUUGUUGUUGUAGAGAAUAGUAAGAAGCUUAAUAUUAAGCAGAGCUUAAAGUGUUGUGGAUAAGGCAACUUAUUUUACAUGUGACACGUGACCUAAUGGAAUU